This is a long non-coding RNA of Macadamia integrifolia, 1851 nucleotides long. RefSeq lists it as uncharacterized. Lineage: Eukaryota; Viridiplantae; Streptophyta; Magnoliopsida; Proteales; Proteaceae. The record is from RefSeq and is a predicted model, not a curated record. The transcript has 7 exons.
GGAGGCUGGCAAACAGGAGGGUCAGAGCCUAGGGAAGAAUGUGUAAUGGCUAAAAUUACAUUUCCUUGUUUCGUGAUUUUUUUUUUUUUGCAUGAAAGACUGGAUAUGUUAUGGCUCCUUUAACAUAAUAUAUGGACAGCACACAAAUCUUCUACUUUGCAGGUCAGAUGAGGCUGAAAAUUUGUGGGCAGGCAGACCCCGAGGUCCCCUGCUCAUUUUUAACUCUGCUGUCUUUAAUACUGAUUGCAGGGUGGAAAUUGAUCUCCCCAGUUGUAACGCAAGCCAAAGUGAUGGAUCAAGAAGAGAAAAGUCAUUAUACAACAUCACCUUGAUCAUGAAUACAGUUCCAAGGUCUUUUGAGUCCUAGGCUGCCACUAAAAUUCACACCAGAUGGAGCUUGGAGUUGAUACUGUUCCAGUCCUCAUUGGCCCUGUUUCCUACUUGCUGCAAUCAAAACCAGCCAAGGGUGGGGAGAGAACUCUCUCUUCUUUCCCUGCUGGACAAGAUUAUUCCAGUAUACAAGGAGGUUGUGACAGAAUUGAAGGCAGCUGGUGCUUCCUGGAUUUAGUUUGAUGAGCCCACCCUUGUGUUGGAUCUUGAUUCUCACAAAUUGGAAGCUAACUCCUCUUGUUUCCUCCAAGGAAUGAUGCCAUUUGAGACAACCAAGCCGUAUAAUAGCAAGACCGGGGGUGAUCAUCGACAAUGAGCACAAUCCCAUCUCACAUUGUUGGAUAUCCACACAUGGGCCCCAGGAGAGAGAUCAAAUUUUUUUUGGAAUCUUUCUGGGAUGGGAAGAGCAGUGCCGAGGAUUUGUAGAAAGUGGCUACUGAUCUCAGGUCAUUCAUCUGGAAACAGAUGGCUGAUUCUGGGACCAAAUACAUUCCAAGCAACAGGUUCUCGUACUACGACCAGAUGCUUGAUAGUACCAUAAUGCUUGGGGCUGUUCCCUCUAGAUAUGGUUGGAAUGUUGGUGAGAUUGGUUUUGACACCCACUUCUCCAUGGCCUGAGGGAAUGCCUCUGUUGCUGCUAUGGAAAUGACCAAGUGGUUUGACACCAACUAGUCGGGCAGCCAUUUCAUUGCUCCUGAAUUGGGACUAGACAAUUUUUUUAUGCUUCUCACAAAGCUGUUAGUGAAUAUAAAGAGGCCAAAGCUGUACGUCUGCAAGAUAUUUUCUGUAUUGGUCUACUAUUUAUUACUUGUAGGUCAUCAGCUUGGAGUAGACACUGUUCCAGACCUAAUUGGUCCUGUUUCCUAGCAAUCAAAAUCAGCCAAGGAUGUGGGGAAAACUCUCUCUUCUUCCCCUCCUGGAAUGGAUUAUUCCAGUCUACAAAUAGGUUGUGACAGAAUUUAAGGCGGCUGGUGCUUCCUGGAUUCAGUUUGAUGAGCACACCCGUGUGUUGGUUAUUGAUUCUCACAAAUUGGAAGCAUUCACUAAGUGUUCUCUUUUCCUCCGAGGAAUGAUGCAUUUGAGAUGACCAAGCCAUAUAGUAUCAAGACGGGGGUGAUCAUCAACAAUGAAAUGAGGGAAUGGGUUGCGAAGGCCUAUGAAUGCACUGUGCAGCUGAUCGAGGAGCACAAAGAUGUUCACGAGGAUCUGGACAAGUACUUGCUUGGAUAAAGACUAAGAAGACUUAAUGAUCAUGACGAGGGUUUUUGUUCAUGAUGAUCCUAUUAUCCUGUAGGCAAAGAUUGCAGAACUUCACGAGGAUCUGGACAAGUACUCAUGUCAUAAUUAGGACUUUUAUCGCCAAGAGUAGGCUUUAGAUUUAUUGCUGAGAUUGUCACUGAAUUUUGACUUAAGUAUUGCUUGAUAUUUUUUAAUGGGAUCAGGUCGAAUUGAUUUUAUCAA